CAGCAGCUCCUGUGAAUGAAUCGCCUUUGA
Molecule: non-coding RNA, 30 nt
Filed under: Homo sapiens (human)
Lineage: Eukaryota; Metazoa; Chordata; Mammalia; Primates; Hominidae
Source: RNAcentral